CACAUGACUGUGACGUCAUCGCAGGUCCUGCAGCCCCAUGAGGUGAGAUCUGCAGGUUCCUUAGGUGCAGGACUCUCUUCUUUUGAUAGACAAUGGUCCUUUCCAUCAAUGACCCACCAAGGAUGGAGAAGGACAGAGACCACAUGGCUGCGAGGAUAUUAGACCUCACCCUGGAGAUCAUCUCCUUGAUAACUGGAGAGGAUUACACAGUAGUGAAGAAGUCAUCUGGUGAGUGUGUGACACCCCAUGUGUCAGGAGGAUGGAGCAG
Long non-coding RNA from Bufo bufo (common toad), 268 nucleotides. RefSeq lists it as uncharacterized. The record is from RefSeq and is a predicted model, not a curated record. The transcript is spliced from 3 exons. Lineage: Eukaryota; Metazoa; Chordata; Amphibia; Anura; Bufonidae.